AGGAAACAGAUGCUAAUACCGCAAUUAAAACCUAACACCGCAUGGUGUAGGUUGAAAGAUGGUUUCGGCUAUCUACUUUAGGAUGGACCCGCGGUGCAUUAGUUAGUUGGUGAGGUAAAGGCUCACCAAGACCGUGAUGCAUAGCCGACCUGAGAGGUAAUCGGCCACACUGGGACUGAGACACGGCCCAGACUCCUACGGGAGGCAGCAGUAGGGAAUCUUCCACAAUGGACGAAAGUCUGAUGGAGCAACGCCGCGUGAGUGAAGAAGGUUUUCGGAUCGUAAAACUCUGUUGUUGGAGAAGAAUGUAUCUGAUAGUAACUGAUCAGGUAGUGACGGUAUCCAACCAGAAAGCCACGGCUAACUACGUG
This 371-nucleotide ribosomal RNA is filed under the name uncultured bacterium. RNAcentral describes it as "bacterial SSU rRNA". It matches the Rfam family "Bacterial small subunit ribosomal RNA", at positions 151 to 507 of the family's 1533-position model. The record is from RNAcentral.